UGGGAAGUAUUGCACAAUGGCGCAAGCCUGACUGCAGCCAUGCCGCGCUGUAUGAAGAAGGCCAUUCGGGCUUUGGUUAAAGAUACUUUUCAGCGAGGAGGAAGGCAUUAAGGUUAAUAACCUUAGUGAUUGACGUUACUCGCAGAAGAAGCACCGGCUAACUCCGUGCCAGCAGCCGCGGUAAUACGGAGGGUGCAAGCGUUAAUCGGAAUUACUGGGCGUAAAGCGCACGCAGGCGGUCUGUCAAGUCGGAUGUGAAAUCCCCCGGGCUCAACCUGGGAACUGCAUUCGAAACUGGCAGGCUAGAGUCUUGUAGAGGGGU
RNAcentral lists this ribosomal RNA (322 nucleotides) under uncultured Enterobacteriaceae bacterium. Its description in RNAcentral is "bacterial SSU rRNA". It matches the Rfam family "Bacterial small subunit ribosomal RNA", at positions 355 to 660 of the family's 1533-position model. Lineage: Bacteria; Pseudomonadati; Pseudomonadota; Gammaproteobacteria; Enterobacterales; Enterobacteriaceae. The record is from RNAcentral.